AGAGUUUGAUCAUGGCUCAGGACGAACGCUGGCGGCGUGCCUAACACAUGCAAGUCACACGAGAAAGCGACUUUCGGGUUGUGAGUAGAGUGGCGAACGGGUGAGUAACACGUAGGUAACUUAGCUAUAGGUUUGGGAUAACCUUGCCAACGCGAGGCUAAUACCGGAUAGAGUAAUUUAGCGCAUGUUAGAUUAUGAAAGAUGGCCUCUACUUGUAAGCUAUCGUCUGUAGAUAGACCUGCGUCUCAUUAGCUAGUUGGUAGGGUAAAGGCCUACCAAGGCGACGAUGAGUAGCCGGCCUGAGAGGGUGUCCGGCCACACUGGGACUGAGAUACGGCCCAGACUCCUACGGGAGGCAGCAGUGAGGGAUAUUGCGCAAUGGUCGAAAGACUGACGCAGCAACGCCGCGUGGGUGAUGAAGCUCUAAGGAGUGUAAAGCCCUGUUAGAAGGGAAGAAAAGUAGAUGAGUGAAUAAUUCAUUUAUCUGACGGUACCUUCAGAGAAAGCCCCGGCUAACUCCGUGCCAGCAGCCGCGGUAAUACGGGGGGGGCAAGCGUUGUCCGGAAUUACUGGGCGUAAAGAGCGCGUAGGUGGGAUGAUAAGUUGAGGGUGAAAACUUGCGGCUUAACCGUAAGCUUGCCUUUAAGACUGUCAUUCUUGAGUGCGAAAGAGGGAAGUGGAAUUCCUGGUGUAGCGGUGAAAUGCGUAGAUAUCAGGAAGAACACCGGUAGCGAAGGCGGCUUCCUGGUUCGCAACUGACACUGAGGCGCGAAAGCGUGGGGAGCGAACAGGAUUAGAUACCCUUGUAGUCC
Molecule: ribosomal RNA, 812 nt
Filed under: uncultured bacterium
Lineage: Bacteria
Description: bacterial SSU rRNA
Rfam family: Bacterial small subunit ribosomal RNA
Source: RNAcentral